GGGGGGGGGCGGCGCAGCGCUGCGCCUUUAAAACGGCCGCCAUGACGCGGGCGGCGGUUGGCGCGGGCCGAGUGUGGCGGCCGCGUCACGCGGGCCGGGAGCCAGGCGGGGCUGCUGCCCGGUGUCAAACUGAGCCGCCUCAGAGCGCCCCGCUGCCGGCGGGGGGGCGGGAGCCGGGGGCUCCGCUGCUCCGGAGCAGCCUGUAGCAAUGCUUUGGUUUAGUUGCUCGUAGUUGCUGAAGUAAAAGAAACCUCUAUCCUCCCCAUGCUAACUGUUGACAUGGAAAACAAGGAAAAUGGCUCUCUGGAUGUCAAAAAUUCAGUAGAGAAUGGGAGACCGCCGGAUCCUGCUGACUGGGCUGUUACCGAUGUUGUGAAUUAUUUCAGAACAGCUGGAUUUGAGGAGCAAGCCAAUGCUUUUCAAGAACAGGAAAUUGAUGGCAAAUCAUUACUGUUGAUGACAAGAAAUGAUGUACUGACUGGACUUUCAUUAAAACUGGGGCCUGCGCUGAAAAUCUAUGAAUAUCACGUAAAACCUCUACAGACACAACAUCUAAAGAACAACUCUUUAUAGCGAAUUGCCUAAUUGGGGUCGUGUUGUGCCUCAAACAAUAAAUAAGCAAUUUGGUUUCAUGUGAUGGAACUUUGUAAAGAGAGAAUAUAUCUAUUAAGAAUUUAAACCAAAUUAUGAUAUAUAUCCUAUUGGAUAGAGUUGGCAAUAUACUAUAUACUGAGUCUGAACUGAGAGAGGUGGUGUGUAUUUUUUACAUAGUACAUAAUGAUUUUCUCUUUUAGGAAGUGUCAGUGAGCAUGUUGAGAUAGCUACGUCACUGUAUCCAGAUCAAAAGGGAGAUCUUUUACUUUCUCUGUUUCUUUGUUGUGGUAUAUUGGAACUCCUGGUUUUCUCCAUUUUCCCAUUAAAAAGGUCCGUGAAGUACUCCUCCAGCUCUCUCUGGCAGGCAGCAGUAGGGUAUGUGCCCCUUUCCUGGUUCUUUCCACCGCUUGUUUUUUUUAUGAGCCUGGCAGAGGUGAACUGCUGUCCUGGUGUGUAAUUUGGGAUGGAUCUUCAAGGGAACAUGACAAGCUUCAACUCAAUGCGGCUGAGAGUUUGCAAGUCAGUAAUAAAACUCCGUAACAACUAACCCUAGCUCAUGUUGUUUCUUAUUUGGUUGCCAUAGAUCAGUCAUACUUCAACUGAUCUAGUAAGUGUUAUUUAUACAUGUGUUUUUAAAUACAUAUAUGUAUACGUAUGGGACCAGGUGUGUGUGCAUGCACUCAGGUAUGUGUGUGGGUUUUUUCUUUCUUAGACUGGUAUGAAUGGUAAAGUUCAAUUUCAGAAUAAGAAAAUUGUUUAUAUCCUAAUUAUAGCUGAGAUGUGAGUUGACAUUUCUGGUCCUCUAAGUGGAGACAUUCAGUAGGUUUCCUUUCUAGAUACAGCCUGUGCACUUUCCAGUAAGAAGAUGGCUGGCUGUUGUAUGUACACAAAUAGCAGGAUUCUAACUUCACAAGUGUUUAUAUUGCGAUUUCUAGCCAGAAAGGGGUUUAUUUGAACACUUUGUCAGCUCAGUUCAACUUAGAAUCAGGGUUCUGUAUUCCUGAUAAAGCAAGAUUAAAAAAAAAAAGAAAAAGAAAAAAAGACAACUUUAAAGAAGAAAAAAAAAAGUAGCUGUAAUAGUUAAUGAAAACUGACAGGUUUAAAUGUGUGUUGGAAAGCAAGUAGCCUGAAUAUCUGUAGGAUAAUACAGCCAGUGAAGACAGAUCACUUGUACUGACCCUGACGGUGACAUUUCUUCUCUGUUUUAGAUAUUGGCUAAUGAGUUUAGCUGGUACAUUUUAUCUUUGUGACAUUAUCUGCAUGUGGAGCAUGAUCAUCAGCUGAGGAGGACUGUGGCUGGACUGCUAUCAGAAUCGAAUAGGAACAGGAUGUGAAAGAAUCAGAUGCUAAAAUGAUAGUAAUAUGUGUGUACGCUUGAAAUAGUGUUUUUGGUAGGAGGCUGCAGGCCCUAUAAACUACUGGGAUAUAGCCCAGGACCAGCAACUUCAUGUUAUCAGCAAGAAGAUGUAUUUUAAAUGGCAAUUUAUGAUCUGCUAACUGCUGCUCAGUUUCAUCAAGUGUGAUUUCAUUGGCAAAGCAUCACAGCUGCCUCUGAGUAAAAUGCGGUAAGCAACCUGAAUAGCUCCUCUGGACAGGAACUGGAAAAAAAAAAUCUCUCUCAAUUAAAAUAAUGCAAGUCCAUUGUGGAGACUGAAUCCAAUGAAGCCGAUGGGAAUUUGGUCAGGUUUCAGGCCUGAGUAAGUCUGGCUAAGUCCCAUUUUCAAGAACGAUUUAUGCCAUUGUUACCUGAAUCUAACUGCCAUAUGGAAAAUUUGGGCUUCUUCCGAUUGCCUAAGUUCUUUCUUCAGAAGCAAUCUGCCCACGUAAGUGACUCAGGUUUGCAGUGCUGAAUGGAGCUGUGCCAAGAUGCCUUUAUAGAAACCACAUUGCAUGAGUAUACAUGUGUGCUUGUUGCCACAGGAAAGUCUAUAUAAACAGCUGCUUGCUGCUCUGUGUCCUCAUUCUGCCAUGAAGGUUAGUCCACUGCUACCUUACAAGCCCACAAAUGAAGCACAAAUAGUAACGAAGGAAACCACCUGCCUAAUGCAAUAAAUUUCUCAUAAGGUAGAAAGGAGGUGGGUUGUGAAAAUCUGCCUUGUUUAGAAACAGGUAAAUGCUGAAAUGUUCAGUAAGAGCCUUUUUCUUCCUUUUUUUUUUUUUUUUUCUUUCCAUCUGUUGGUAGCGAGCCAUCAUUUGGAACAAGACUUGUCACUUUUUGAGGUAAAAUUAGCUGAACUAAAACAUAUUUCUUUUACAGUGUUUGCAUUUAUACGUAAAGUAGUAAACAGUUUCAUUUCUUGUUUGGUAAAUAGUCAAAUACUAGCUUGUUUUUUGAUGUUGCUCUUUAUUUGCCCUUAAAAGAUACAUUAAUAAAUUACAAGCACCUAAAAAUAGUAGAAAUAGCAAGACAUAAGCCCACAAGUACAAUAUGACACAAUCUAACAAGGUAGGAAAGAAUGUCCCCAGCAAAAGCUAGAAGUGUUGUAAAUAAAACUUUCAGAAUUGACUAAUGGCCAGAGAACAGCGUAUCUGGGACAGCUUCGCUCUGUGGUGUCAUUUGUCCUGUUGUUUUUCAGGAGAUAUCUCAGGCUUGUGAACAGCGUCUUCCCUUCGCAUCUGUUAUAUCCUGCUCAGCAAGGCAAGUUCCUAUUUUUCAAAGCACCUCAAAAUGUCACAUGGUGCAGGUCAUGCUCCUCAUUUUCGGUGCCUAGGAAUUUCAUGAUUGUACCCAGAGGAAUGCUGCAGAUCUGAGAAGGCACAAAGGCGACUGAAUUGCAGGUUUUGGAAGUAACUUUGGCCACGUCCCAUUGGAUUUGUGUUCUGUCAUAUGGUGUCUGUGAAAAUGAUGCUCACAGAAAAUGAGAGCAGCGGUUAGAAGCUGUCAGAAGUUGAGCAGAGCAGGAUUUCUGUUACAAAUGUG
Molecule: RNA transcript, 3514 nt
Organism: Falco peregrinus (peregrine falcon)
Lineage: Eukaryota; Metazoa; Chordata; Aves; Falconiformes; Falconidae
Gene: SAMD13
Gene name: sterile alpha motif domain containing 13
Exons: 6
Source: RefSeq, a predicted model, not a curated record